AGUAAAACAGUACGUGAAAUUGUUGAAAGGGAAACGAUUGAAGUCAGUCAUGCCGGCGUUGGAUUCAGCUUGCUUCGCGGAGCUUGCGCAUUUCCUCGCAUGGCAGGUCAGCGUCAGUUUUGCGCGGCGUGAAAAGGCUCGGGUAAGGUAGCUCUCUUCGGGGAGUGUUAUAGACCUGGGCAAAUGCGCAGCGCGGGACUGAGGAUUGCAGCGGACACCUCUUCGGAGGCGCGGCGACCGAACCCUGCUCGGCCACCCUCGUUCGAUAGCGUGCUAACGGACGCGGGAGCGGCAGUGCACCGGAACAGGCAAGCCAGCGGUUCGCUUAGGAUGCUGACGUAAUGGCUUUAAA
RNAcentral lists this unclassified non-coding RNA (352 nucleotides) under uncultured Archaeospora. RNAcentral describes it as "sequence contains 28S rRNA gene". Lineage: Eukaryota; Fungi; Glomeromycota; Glomeromycetes; Archaeosporales; Archaeosporaceae. The record is from RNAcentral.